GAUGAACGCUGGCGGCGUGCUUAACACAUGCAAGUCGAACGGGAAUUAUUUUAUUGAAACUUCGGUCGAUUUAAUUUAAUUCUAGUGGCGGACGGGUGAGUAACGCGCGGGUAACCUGCCUUAUACAGGGGGAUAACAGUCAGAAAUGGCUGCUAAUACCGCAUAAGCGCACAGAGCUGCAUGGCUCAGUGUGAAAAACUCCGGUGGUAUAAGAUGGACCCGCGUUGGAUUAGCUGGUUGGUGGGGUAACGGCCCACCAAGGCGACGAUCCAUAGCCGGCCUGAGAGGGUGAACGGCCACAUUGGGACUGAGACACGGCCCAGACUCCUACGGGAGGCAGCAGUGGGGAAUAUUGCACAAUGGGGGAAACCCUGAUGCAGCGACGCCGCGUGAAGGAAGAAGUAUCUCGGUAUGUAAACUUCUAUCAGCAGGGAAGAUAGUGACGGUACCUGACUAAGAAGCCCCGGCUAACUACGUG
This 478-nucleotide ribosomal RNA is filed under the name uncultured bacterium. RNAcentral describes it as "partial 16S ribosomal RNA". It matches the Rfam family "Bacterial small subunit ribosomal RNA", at positions 28 to 507 of the family's 1533-position model. The record is from RNAcentral.